UGGUAUUUAGUUUAAAACAAAACAAAUGAUUUCGACUCAUUAAAUUAUGAACCAACUCAUAAAUACCAA
Molecule: non-coding RNA, 69 nt
Organism: Hippopotamus amphibius kiboko
Lineage: Eukaryota; Metazoa; Chordata; Mammalia; Artiodactyla; Hippopotamidae
Source: the annotation of a RefSeq genome assembly